AGUGAACGCUGGCGGUAGGCCUAACACAUGCAAGUCGAACGGCAGCACAGUAAGAGCUUGCUCUUACGGGUGGCGAGUGGCGGACGGGUGAGGAAUACAUCGGAAUCUACUUUUUCGUGGGGGAUAACGUAGGGAAACUUACGCUAAUACCGCAUACGACCUACGGGUGAAAGCAGGGGAUCUUCGGACCUUGCGCGAUUGAAUGAGCCGAUGUCGGAUUAGCUAGUUGGCGGGGUAAAGGCCCACCAAGGCGACGAUCCGUAGCUGGUCUGAGAGGAUGAUCAGCCACACUGGAACUGAGACACGGUCCAGACUCCUACGGGAGGCAGCAGUGGGGAAUAUUGGACAAUGGGCGCAAGCCUGAUCCAGCCAUACCGCGUGGAUGAAGAAGGCCUUCGGGUUGUAAAGCCCUUUUGUUGGGAAAGAAAAGCAGCAGGUUAAUACCCCGCUGUUCUGACGGUACCCAAAGAAUAAGCACCGGCUAACCUCGUG
This 492-nucleotide ribosomal RNA is filed under the name uncultured bacterium. Its description in RNAcentral is "partial 16S ribosomal RNA". It matches the Rfam family "Bacterial small subunit ribosomal RNA", at positions 29 to 507 of the family's 1533-position model. The record is from RNAcentral.